GUGGGGAAUCUUGCGCAAUGGGCGAAAGCCUGACGCAGCCAUGCCGCGUGAAUGAUGAAGGUCUUAGGAUUGUAAAAUUCUUUCACCGGGGACGAUAAUGACGGUACCCGGAGAAGAAGCUCCGGCUAACUUCGUGCCAGCAGCCGCGGUAAUACGAAGGGGGCUAGCGUUGCUCGGAAUUACUGGGCGUAAAGGGCGCGUAGGCGGACAGCUUAGUCAGAGGUGAAAGCCCAGGGCUCAACCUUGGAAUUGCCUUUGAUACUGGCUGUCUUGAGUUUGGGAGAGGUGAGUGGAACUCCGAGUGUAGAGGUGAAAUUCGUAGAUAUUCGGAAGAACACCAGUGGCGAAGGCGACUCACUGGCCCAAUACUGACGCUGAGGCGCGAAAGCGUGGGGAGCAAACAGGAUUAGAUACCCUUUUAGUCC
Molecule: ribosomal RNA, 425 nt
Filed under: uncultured bacterium
Lineage: Bacteria
Description: partial 16S ribosomal RNA
Rfam family: Bacterial small subunit ribosomal RNA
Source: RNAcentral